This is a long non-coding RNA of Astatotilapia calliptera (eastern happy), 4400 nucleotides long. Lineage: Eukaryota; Metazoa; Chordata; Actinopteri; Cichliformes; Cichlidae. The record is from Ensembl.
AUUCUUUUGAAUUGAUGCAGGGAAUUGGAUGUUAAAUAGUUGUUUAGUGAUCGGAUUUAAAAACAUGUAAGUGCAUGCUGCACUUGCUGUAUGGGAAUCCUGGAGGAAAUGAAGAGUGAGAUGACAAGCUCAUCACAGCAAGAAAACACAGAGGUGUUUGACUUUGAGUGACCCCUUAAACAUCAGUCCCAGCUGGAGUUUUUUGUUUGUUUGUUUUUUGGGAUGAGGUGGGGUGGGGGGCUACCUUUACUCCCCCUUUUUAACAAUGCAGCUGUGUGUUUUCUGGAUGUGAUGCUGUAUUUCUUAUGUCUUGUCACCGUCUCUGUGCGGUGCGCAGAUGAGUAACACACCGAGGCCGACUGAGCUGAGCGCUGAUUUGAAAAAUGGGACCUGAUCUUCCUUGGCUUGCUUCGAACCAGCUUCCAGCCUAUUGAAUCAGUUGCGAUUCAUGCCAAUGAAUAUUGUAAUAAUUGCUCAUCUUGUGCUGGAAUAGGGAAUCACUAGAGGCCGCGAUGACAGAAUAGCAGAACUGUUACAAGUAGUCGAGGCAAAUUGCCAGCGUUCUUAUUCAGGACAUCGUUUAGUGUCCUAAUUGAAAAUUUGACAGUUUUAAGCACAGUUAAAACACAUUAUAUACUCUGUAAGGCAGUUUUGGAUGGUCUAAACUAUAAAUACAUGAAACACUCGUCUUCCAUUCUUGCCUAAUGAAUCUGAUCAAUGCUGCAUGUAAGAUCCUACAUAUUGGACUAGUAAAUCCAAUAUGACUAAAUAACACACACACACACACAAGUUCCCAAUGCAAAUGUUAAAGUCUUCCAUCCUAGACUCAGUACGGUCUCAGAUUAUGUAUUCAUGCAACAGUUGAUUAAUGACGGUUAUUAUUCAUGGAUUUCACUAUUUCUUGGAAGGCUUAGCUUCAGCGUAGAAGCUCAGAUAACCACGAGGGAGGAACAGAAAGGCAAGGAAAACAAAGAUGAAAGGUGGUGUAGGGCUUAACUGCCAGAAUUUAUACGCCGCCAUAUGUGAGCAGGUUUGUACUUGGAAGAUGAACGGUGGGUUGUUUGUUUUCCCGGAUUUCUGCCAGUGUUGGCAUCGCCGUAUUCUGACAGUCGCUCCUCUCGCCUCCCUCGAAAGGAUGGCACUCUCUCCUCUCAGUUUAUGAAGCACAGUUGUGUGAACUGUGUGUGACAAGUAGCAAGCUAGACAGGUAAAUCGUAGUCCUCUCCAGCAGCGCGCUCCCCCUACAUCCAUCUAACGGAGGAGGAUCGAGCACAAGGGGGAGGCCAUCUCCCUUCAUCUUCACCUUGUACAGAUGAAGAAAAAUGUAAUGCACUGCACAGUGGGGAAGAUUGGGACUCCACUCAGCAUGACGUUAGACUGGUUUGUUAGUUUCCACCAGUGACUGCUUUUUAGGCCUUUAAGAAUUGACAUAUAUUGAACAGAUUUGAUUAAACACUGAAAACAAUGAUGUAGAUUAGCCACUGCAGUUUUCAUGCGUAUAGGAUCCAGUUCCCAAAGGAGAGAUUAGGUAGUGAUGGAAAAAUCUGGAUGUAAGCUAUCUUUGUGAAUUUAAGAUUAAAUAAAUCACAGCUCCCUGAGCUGAGUCAGCUCUGCGUGCCAACACUUUCCUUCAUGUCCAUGUUUGCUUCAGGUCUAAUCGAGUUCCAUGCUGGAGGUGGGGGGUGCAGGUAGGAGAAUAAAUUGCUUAUUUAUUGAGGUGUAGGAAACUUAUUAUGGCUACAGUGUGAAGACAGAUUGGCUGGUCCACUGUGUGGUCACCUCAAGAACAUUCGUCUAUUCUGAAGGACAUUGAAAGAAGUCCGGAACAGUUCUUUGUCUGUAACUAUUCAAGGUAGUAAUUGUAGUGGCAAUGGAGGGCUUACUGUGACCAUAGGCUCUCUAGACAUCUGCUUCACUGUUGUUCCAUAUUUACAAGACUAUUAAGGGACUAACCACUGGUGUGAUGUCGGCUAUAACAGCUUUUUUCCUCUAGGUCAGAUAAGCUUAGAGUGCACUGGGUCACUAUUUGUUUUUUAGUUCAGUGUUGAUCUAGUAAUCGCUGCUUUAGAGAACAAAGUGCAACAUUAUAAACGAUACUGUGAGUUCUUUAACAAUUAAUGGGGAAAUAUACUGCACUAAAAUGAACUUUUUCCUUGUAGACUGUGUUUACUGAAUUGAAAAUGUUGAUGUACGUCUAAAAAUGUCUUGCUAGUAAACUUGAAAUCUUUGAGAAAAAUGAGUUAAUUAAAUGAGUUGGUCUUGGCAUUGUUGUGUUGUAUGGAUUUCUGAGUUACUGGAACUCACUACCUUUUGUUGAAGGAAGAAAACAGGGUACAUUUGUUCUGGUGAAGUGAACGCUUUGCUAUUUUACUUUUAACACAGAAUCAAUGCUGUCACCUAGAAAUGACAUUUAUAUGGUACUUAAUACUAAAAUGUUAUCUGAAAGGCCGAUUUUAUUGGUUGAUGUUGCAUAGUUUGUCCACUAGAGGGCGCGUCGCAACUUCCCUGUUGGCGGUACUGCCACACACGCAACAAGCAGCAGAUCCAAACAACAUCAGGCAGUGUGUAAAUGAGUAAACAACUACAUAUCAGCUGAUAUGAGUUUAUCAAAUUUAAAUCAGCAAUUUUGACUAUUGGUUUUAAGAAUUAAGAAUUCUAUAUCGUUCAGACGCUUGUAGAUGCUAGGUUGUUUUGUCUUUUUGUUUUGUUUGUCUUUGAAGGAGAAUACAUUAUGGUUAUAUACUAGAAUUGGCAAUCAGAUGUUCAAGGUGAACAGAUGGCAUACAAAACAACAGAAGAGCUAUUUUCCUUUCUGUUUUAGAGCUUUUAGUUGACUGCUGCUCAAACAGCUCUCACCUACAGUCCAAAUAGAAACCAGAGCUAAUAUUUACAUAUAUCAUAUCAGAACUAUAUAAAAGGACUAAUAUGGUCCCUUUAUAUGUAUAGACGCCUACAGCUACUACAUAUAAAAUGUGUUGCUAGAGACUGUGUUUUGCUUCAGUGUAGUUUCUAGGUGACAGGAUUGAAAUAAAUAUAUGUUGUUAUUUUAACUAUGUAGAAUGCAUACUGUUUACACCAGCAAAAGCAUAUGUAUAGGCAUAUUUAUAAUAUUUAACUCCUUGAUAUUUAACUCUAUUUAACUCGUUCACUGAUUGAGAAAACAAAUAUUCAGAACAAUCCUAAUGGACAUCUUAAGUGCAUAAACUGUGCAAAUUGUUACUAAAUCGAGGGAGGAAGUUGUUGCUUGUUAUCAGCGUAAAUAGUAAAUACUAACAGUCCUGAUAACCCCGAUACAGUCUUCCUGAUCUGUGCUCUCCAUUUUAUCGUACUGUUGCUUGUCUUUUCCUUUUCUGAGCGGAGACCUUACGUUGCUUUAACCACAAUGCUCUUCUCACAUCGCUCCACCGCUUCAUCUCCUCGAGCACUGUAUCAAAUGUAAUUCCAACUGUGAGUUUUAAAGUGUUUCUUUGGCUGUCGCACUGUUGAAUUUUAGCUUCGAGGGCAAAGUCCACGCUGUUGUUUCUGUGCACUCUCAUUCGCUUGCAACCCUCUCAUCUUCAUCUCACCCAUGAACAUCUUUCCUUUGGCAAGGGCUCUCAGUCUUUGGGUAGACAGGCACACAGUGGAAGAAUUAAAGAAAAAGAAAACACUGGAGGAAAUAACCUGAAACAACAACAAAAAUAAUAAGGAAGUCCCCAGAGAUAGAAAGAAAAAUGUGAACCAGCAAACCGGUGAACAAUCACACUCAGCUUGGAGAAGCGGCCUCCCCCUUGAGCUACAGUUUUGGACUGUGGAAGGAACCCUCAGUGACUCUACUUGGAUGGCACUUAGCUUUUGUUGACCCAGUGACUUUCCUCGAUACACUGACUCCUCUUUUUGUUAUGUGGGGAGGGGUUUUUUUGGACUGUGUAAGUGAGUUGUAGUUGUUGCUCUCCUCCUUUCUCUGUCUCUCCCUCUCUAUCUCCUCACCAGACUAUUUCUAGUUUCAUGUGUAAUCUACUUGAUGUUUGAUUACUUGAAGGGGCAGCGUUCAGUUGCCUAGAUUUUUCGAGCACUCUGUGUAAAAUGAAGGUGAUCUUUGUGUAAAUCUUUUCAUGGCUCGGGAUGAUGAUGAUGAUGAUAUGUACAGGGGGAAUGUUUUGAUACGUUUUUAUGGUCCUUCCACAGUCAAACAAGAUGAAGAAAUUGAAAGAAAAUCUAAGGCUCCAGAUUUUUUUUUUUGCAAAACUGUCCACCUACAUUUUCUCAGAAAUCUUGCUGAUAUGUCUUUGUCUGCAAGGAAAGAUAAAAAAGAAAAGAAAAGGGAAAAAAAAACAUUCGGGCCUCUAACCAUUCCUCAGCCAUAAGACAGGCAUUUUUUCUUUAUGCUGUUUGUUGCACAAAACUUUCAAAAAGCCUUC